AUUGAACGCUGGCGGCAUGCCUUACACAUGCAAGUCGAACGGCAGCACGGGAGCGAUCCUGGUGGCGAGUGGCGAACGGGUGAGUAAAGUAUCGGAACGUGCCCGGUCGUGGGGGAUAACGUAGCGAAAGUUACGCUAAUACCGCACACGAUCUAUGGAUGAAAGCGGGGGAUCGCAAGACCUCGCGCGAUUGGAGCGGCCGAUAUCAGAUUAGGUAGUUGGUGGGGUAAAGGCUCACCAAGCCGACGAUCUGUAGCUGGUCUGAGAGGACGACCAGCCACACUGGGACUGAGACACGGUCCAGACUCCUACGGGAGGCAGCAGUGGGGAAUUUUGGACAAUGGGCGAAAGCCUGAUCCAGCCAUGCCGCGUGCAGGAUGAAGGCCUUCGGGUUGUAAACUGCUUUUGUACGGAACGAAAAGGUUUGGCCUAAUAAGCUGAGCUCAUGACGGUACCGUAAGAAUAAGCACCGGCUAACUACGUGCCAGCCGCCGCGGUAA
This 500-nucleotide ribosomal RNA is filed under the name uncultured bacterium. Its description in RNAcentral is "partial 16S ribosomal RNA". It matches the Rfam family "Bacterial small subunit ribosomal RNA", at positions 30 to 523 of the family's 1533-position model. The record is from RNAcentral.